Long non-coding RNA from Austrofundulus limnaeus, 389 nucleotides. RefSeq lists it as uncharacterized. The record is from RefSeq and is a predicted model, not a curated record. The transcript has 3 exons. NCBI's taxonomy places the organism in Eukaryota, Metazoa, Chordata, Actinopteri, Cyprinodontiformes, Rivulidae.
UUUAGGUUCGUGUUUCCCUAUGUUAUGUGAUCAGUUGAUCCCUCGGGGUUUCAACAGCCAGUUCGUGGUUUUCAUCCUCCGUGAGCAUUUCCUUGAGUUUGAGCCUUUUUUUUUUUUAAAUAAACCCGAUUUCCCCUUUUUUUUCUCUUCCGUGUUUUUCCGCAACGCUGGGAUCAAAAGCUCCACUAAUUAUGGCAUUUUGUAUUAAAGAUUAAAGCGCAGCCCACAAAUGAUUCGUGGGUUAGCUGUUUCAACCCUCAACAGGCUGGAUCCAAAUCACGCACUGCAUCACAGCCACUAUGGUCGUCAGAGUGAAAUGGGACGAUCUUCACCAGAGGAGCACGUUGCUCCUGCCUGUCCUCUGACCUCCCCUCACUCAGAGCCUGGAG